Long non-coding RNA from Hordeum vulgare subsp. vulgare (domesticated barley), 676 nucleotides. RefSeq lists it as uncharacterized. The transcript is spliced from 2 exons. The record is from RefSeq and is a predicted model, not a curated record. Lineage: Eukaryota; Viridiplantae; Streptophyta; Magnoliopsida; Poales; Poaceae.
UGGUGUCUCUGUUGAUCUUAACUCGAACAUUGGCUAAUUAUAUUUUGUAAUGGGAGUUGUCAAGGGAUAGGGACUGAUUGCUUUUUUUUCUGUCUGAUCAGCGAAUAGGCACAACCUUUCAUGAUUUUUGAAGUUUGGACAGUUUUAUGUGCCCUUUGUUGCCUAAUCCCUAUAUUAUUGGACGAUCAACAUGGUGGCCAUCAGGGUUCCCAUCACCGUGUGACAAGCUGGAGCUACUCAAGAGCGCCCCCAAGCUGGUUGAGAAUAGCAAGAUACUUAUUCUCCAUGGUAUAAAGAUUAGUGUGGUUUUGAACUCCAUGCUGGUAGAUCUUUUUCACCUAAUGUGUGAUCACUAUGUGGAGUACGCCAACAAUAAUGACGGCAUCAGUCCAUUUGAGAGUAGGGGUGGGACUUCCCUCAAGUUAUUCCCCCUUGAAUCUUCCGACAACCUUUUAUUUACAUCUCCUAUUGUGUAGUUGGUGACAAUAAGGAAUUGUUAUCCAUUUGAGAAAAUAAAAAUUAAAUCGAUGAUGCUCUCAGAAGUAAAAUGGCUUUCUGAGAAUCAAUAGAAAACCUAUCUGAAACCUUCUCCAUGUAUGUCAUAAUGAUCUUUUCAAUUUUUUAAUCUUUGUAUAUUAAACUAGAGAAUAUUAUUCUGCAUUAUUUUCAACCAUUA